This 483-nucleotide ribosomal RNA is filed under the name uncultured bacterium. RNAcentral describes it as "bacterial SSU rRNA". It matches the Rfam family "Bacterial small subunit ribosomal RNA", at positions 28 to 507 of the family's 1533-position model. The record is from RNAcentral.
GAUGAACGCUAGCGGCAGGCCUAACACAUGCAAGUCGAGGGGUAACAGAAAAGCUUGCUUUUGCUGACGACCGGCGCACGGGUGCGUAACGCGUAUGCAACCUACCUCAUACUGGAGGAUAGCCCCUGGAAACGGGGAUUAAUACUCCAUAGUAUCACAAUUUCGCAUGUUAUUGUGAUUAAAGUUUUUCGGUAUGAGAUGGGCAUGCGUCCCAUUAGCUUGUUGGUGAGGUAACGGCUCACCAAGGCAACGAUGGGUAGGGGGCCUGAGAGGGUGGUCCCCCACACUGGUACUGAGACACGGACCAGACUCCUACGGGAGGCAGCAGUGAGGAAUAUUGGUCAAUGGAGGAAACUCUGAACCAGCCAUGCCGCGUGAAGGAUGACGGCCCUAUGGGUUGUAAACUUCUUUUAUAGAGGAAGAAACUUGUCUACGUGUAGACAACUGACGGUACUCUACGAAUAAGGAUCGGCUAACUCCGUG